Molecule: ribosomal RNA, 519 nt
Filed under: uncultured Sulfurovum sp.
Lineage: Bacteria; Pseudomonadati; Campylobacterota; Epsilonproteobacteria; Campylobacterales; Sulfurovaceae
Description: bacterial SSU rRNA
Rfam family: Bacterial small subunit ribosomal RNA
Source: RNAcentral
GGAGUACGGCCGCAAGGCUAAAACUCAAAGGAAUAGACGGGGACCCGCACAAGUGGUGGAGCAUGUGGUUUAAUUCGAAGAUACGCGAAGAACCUUACCUAGCCUUGACAUAUUUUAGAACACUUUAGAGAUAGAGUGGUGCCUUCGGGAGCUAAUAUACAGGUGCUGCACGGCUGUCGUCAGCUCGUGUCGUGAGAUGUUGGGUUAAGUCCCGCAACGAGCGCAACCCUCGUCACUAGUUACUAACGGUUCGGCCGAGGACUCUAGUGAGACUGCCUUCGCAAGGAGGAGGAAGGUGAGGACGACGUCAAGUCAUCAUGGCCCUUACGGCUAGGGCAACACACGUGCUACAAUGGUUAGGACAAUGAGACGCAAUACCGCGAGGUGGAGCAAAUCUAUAAACCUAAUCUCAGUUCGGAUUGUUCUCUGCAACUCGAGUGCAUGAAGCUGGAAUCGCUAGUAAUCGCGGAUCAGCAUGCCGCGGUGAAUACGUUCCCGGGUCUUGCACACACCGCCCGU